CCUACGGGUGGCAGCAGUGAGGAAUAUUGGACAAUGGGCGAGAGCCUGAACCAGCCAAGUCGCGUGAAGGAUGACGGCCCUACGGGUUGUAAACUUCUUUUGUCAGGGAGCAAUUGAGUCCACGUGUGGUCUUAGCGAGAGUACCUGAAGAAACAGCAUCGGCUAACUCCGUGCCAGCAGCCGCGGUAAUACGGAGGAUGUGAGCGUUAUCCGGAUUUAUUGGGUUUAAAGGGUGCGUAGGCGGGCAUUUAGGCCGACGGGCAAAUGUCGGGGCUCAACCCCGGCCUGCCGUGGGAACUGGGUGGCUUGAGUGGGCGAGAGGUAUGCGGAAUGCGUGGUGUAGCGGUGAAAUGCAUAGAUAUCACGCAGAACCCCGAUGGCGAAGGCAGCAUACCGGCGCCCUACUGACGCUGAGGCACGAAAGUGCGGGGAUCGAACAGGAUUAGAUACCCGGGUAGUC
RNAcentral lists this ribosomal RNA (460 nucleotides) under uncultured bacterium. RNAcentral describes it as "partial 16S ribosomal RNA". It matches the Rfam family "Bacterial small subunit ribosomal RNA", at positions 338 to 795 of the family's 1533-position model. The record is from RNAcentral.